AAGGCCGAGGCAAGUGCUACAAGUGUGGGCAGCCGGGGCACUUCAUUCGAGAUUGCCCGGGAGGAGGAGCCUCACCUGCCCCAUCGAUUGCAUCGGCGCCAGCGAUUCCGGCUCACUAUGGAGGAGUUCCACCGACGGCCGCGUCGACGGGACGCGUGAUGAUGCCGCGUCAACCUGAAGUGGCGCGAUCGGCCCCGAGCGGACGGGUAUUCGCCGCUCAGGUCCAAGCUAAGGAACCUACGGAGGCGGAGGAGCAUCGCCUUGUGGCAGGUAUGGUUUUAAUUAACGGAGUUCGCUGUAGGGCUUUAUUUGAUACAGGAGCCACGCAUUCAUUC
RNAcentral lists this long non-coding RNA (335 nucleotides) under Ananas comosus (pineapple). RNAcentral describes it as "long non-coding RNA (ACOM_LNC037937)". Lineage: Eukaryota; Viridiplantae; Streptophyta; Magnoliopsida; Poales; Bromeliaceae. The record is from RNAcentral.